Molecule: ribosomal RNA, 497 nt
Filed under: uncultured bacterium
Lineage: Bacteria
Description: partial 16S ribosomal RNA
Rfam family: Bacterial small subunit ribosomal RNA
Source: RNAcentral
GACGAACGCUGGCGGCGUGCCUAAUACAUGCAAGUUGAGCGCUGAAGGUUGGUACUUGUACCAACUGGAUGAGCAGCGAACGGGUGAGUAACGCGUGGGGAAUCUGCCUUUGAGCGGGGGACAACAUUUGGAAACGAAUGCUAAUACCGCAUAAAAACUUUAAACACAAGUUUUAAGUUUGAAAGAUGCAAUUGCAUCACUCAAAGAUGAUCCCGCGUUGUAUUAGCUAGUUGGUGAGGUAAAGGCUCACCAAGGCGAUGAUACAUAGCCGACCUGGGAGGGUGGUCGGCCACAUUGGGACUGGGACACGGCCCCAACGCGUACGGGAGGCAGCAGUAGGGAAUCUUGGGCGAUGGACGGAAGUCUGAGCGAGCAACGCCGCGUGAGUGAAGAAGGUUUUCGGAUCGUAAAACUCGGUUGGUAGAGAAGAACGUUGGUGAGAGUGGAAAGCUCAUCAAGUGACGGUAACUACUCAGAAAGGGACGGCUAACUACGUG